CUGGCAAAGAACUCCUCGUAGGAGGAGCAGGAGAAGGGUCGUCACUGCUGUUUCCACGUUGGUCGCCUGUACUGGACUUAUCAGGGUUAUCUUCCAUCUGCAGUUUCUUUGCAGGCAUUUCUUUAA
Molecule: long non-coding RNA, 126 nt
Organism: Aquila chrysaetos chrysaetos
Lineage: Eukaryota; Metazoa; Chordata; Aves; Accipitriformes; Accipitridae
Exons: 3
Source: RefSeq, a predicted model, not a curated record